RNAcentral lists this ribosomal RNA (1345 nucleotides) under uncultured bacterium. RNAcentral's name for it is "bacterial SSU rRNA". It matches the Rfam family "Bacterial small subunit ribosomal RNA", at positions 28 to 1381 of the family's 1533-position model. The record is from RNAcentral.
GAUGAACGCUAGCGGGAGGCCUAACACAUGCAAGCCGAGCGGUAUUGUUUCUUCGGAAAUGAGAGAGCGGCGUACGGGUGCGGAACACGUGUGCAACCUGCCUUUAUCUGGGGGAUAGCCUUUCGAAAGGAAGAUUAAUACUCCAUAAUAUAUUGAUUGGCAUCAAUUAAUAUUGAAAGCUCCGGCGGAUAGAGAUGGGCACGCGCAAGAUUAGCUAGUUGGUGAGGUAACGGCUCACCAAGGCGAUGAUCUUUAGGGGGCCUGAGAGGGUGAUCCCCCACACUGGUACUGAGACACGGACCAGACUCCUACGGGAGGCAGCAGUGAGGAAUGUUGGUCAAUGGGUGCAAGCCUGAACCAGCCAUCCCGCGUGAAGGACGACUGCCCUAUGGGUUGUAAACUUCUUUUGUAUAGGGAUAAACCUACCCUCGUGAGGGUAGCUGAAGGUACUAUACGAAUAAGCACCGGCUAACUCCGUGCCAGCAGCCGCGGUAAUACGGAGGGUGCAAGCGUUAUCCGGAUUUAUUGGGUUUAAAGAGUCCGUAGGCGGACUUAUAAGUCAGUGGUGAAAGCCUGUCGCUUAACGAUAGAACUGCCAUUGAUACUGUAAGUCUUGAGUAUAUUUGAGGUAGCUGGAAUAAGUAGUGUAGCGGUGAAAUGCAUAGAUAUUACUUAGAACACCAAUUGCGAAGGCAGGUUACCAAGAUAUAACUGACGCUGAGGGACGAAAGCGUGGGGAGCGAACAGGAUUAGAUACCCUGGUAGUCCACGCCGUAAACGAUGCUAACUCGUUUUUGGGCUUUAGGGUUCAGAGACCAAGCGAAAGUGAUAAGUUAGCCACCUGGGGAGUACGCUCGCAAGAGUGAAACUCAAAGGAAUCGACGGGGGCCCGCACAAGCGGUGGAUUAUGUGGUUUAAUUCGAUGAUACGCGAGGAACCUUACCAAGACUUAAAUGGGAAUUGACAGCUUUAGAAAUAGAGCUUUCUUCGGACAAUUUUCAAGGUGCUGCAUGGUUGUCGUCAGCUCGUGCCGUGAGGUGUUAGGUUAAGUCCUGCAACGAGCGCAACCCCUGUCACUAGUUGCCAUCAUUCAGUUGGGGACUCUAGUGAGACUGCCUACGCAAGUAGAGAGGAAGGUGGGGAUGACGUCAAAUCAUCACGGCCCUUACGUCUUGGGCCACACACGUAAUACAAUGGCCGGCACAGAGGGCAGCUACACAGCGAUGUGAUGCAAAUCUCGAAAGCCGGUCUCAGUUCGGAUUGGAGUCUGCAACUCGACUCUAUGAAGCUGGAAUCGCUAGUAAUCGCGCAUCAGCCAUGGCGCGGUGAAUACGUUCCCGGGCCU